UCCUAGCCUUAAAAUAUUUUGACCAAGUAAAAGGGGCACUACCCAUUAUUGACCCAUGUCCACACCCAGUGCUAGGCAUUCUGUCAUAUGGGAUCCAAUUAAAAGUUCUCAAAUCAGUCCAUAUGGUUUCAUAAAUUUACUUCAAGGGUUCUUAAUCAAAUCAAUAUGAAUAAAAUCAAGAAACUCUUUCUUGAUUUAAUCCAAACCAUAAAUUAAGCAUCCAACCAUUGGAGGCUAUUGAAUCAAAUUCAAUUAAGUUCAAAUCAAGUGUAGAAAUUAGUUAAUGCUUAUCAUAUAAGCAAAUCAACCACAAGAGAAAUUACAUUCACCCA
Molecule: long non-coding RNA, 332 nt
Filed under: Elaeis guineensis (African oil palm)
Lineage: Eukaryota; Viridiplantae; Streptophyta; Magnoliopsida; Arecales; Arecaceae
Description: long non-coding RNA (EGUI_LNC081265)
Source: RNAcentral